Molecule: ribosomal RNA, 253 nt
Filed under: uncultured bacterium
Lineage: Bacteria
Description: partial 16S ribosomal RNA
Rfam family: Bacterial small subunit ribosomal RNA
Source: RNAcentral
CACGUAGGGCGCAAGCGUUGUCCGGAAUUAUUGGGCGUAAAGAGCUCGUAGGCGGUCUGUUGCGUCCGCUGUGAAAACUCGGGGCUUAACCCCGAGCCUGCAGUGGAUACGGGCAGACUAGAGGUAGGUAGGGGAGAAUGGAAUUCCCGGUGUAGCGGUGAAGUGCGCAGAUAUCGGGAGGAACACCGGUGGCGAAGGCGGUUCUCUGGGCCUUACCUGACGCUGAGGAGCGAAAGCGUGGGGAGCGAACAGG